GAGCCCGUAGCUCAGCUGGCAGAGCAUCUGACUUUUAAUCAGGCGGUCGAAGGUUCGAAUCCUUCCGGGCUCACCA
Molecule: transfer RNA, 76 nt
Filed under: bacterium
Lineage: Bacteria
Also listed under: 1 other name
Description: tRNA-Lys
Rfam family: tRNA
About the family: Transfer RNA (tRNA) molecules are approximately 80 nucleotides in length. Their secondary structure includes four short double-helical elements and three loops (D, anti-codon, and T loops).
Source: RNAcentral